This is an RNA transcript of Medicago truncatula (barrel medic), 686 nucleotides long. RefSeq lists it as uncharacterized. The transcript is spliced from 2 exons. The record is from RefSeq and is a predicted model, not a curated record. Lineage: Eukaryota; Viridiplantae; Streptophyta; Magnoliopsida; Fabales; Fabaceae.
UAAGUUUUCAGUCAUUGGACUAUUUUAUACUUUCUCCUGUUACUUAUUUACAUAUUGAUUUGUCUGUCAUUUCUGCAGAAUGUAGAUACAGAGUAAAUAUGAAAUCGGCAACAAAGAAUCUAAAGGAGAAUAAGGUAGACCUUCGUUCUGCAGGAGGACAAGAUCAAGACAAAUCUAGAAAUACUAUAGCAAAACAACCAAGGGAAAAUGAGUCCACUGCCGGAUUAACACACAAACAAUGUCUCGUGCGAUAAAAGACUGCUGGAAAUGAAGAGCAGCAGUUUGCUGGAUGCUGUAGAGUCAAACAAGGAAUGCAAGAAUCCUUUGUCAAAUCUUGCUCCUAGGCUUUGCAACUGACACAACACAAAUUGAUUUUUGGCCAAGUUGAUUUUCAUUUCUUCACAAGAAAACAUGAUUCCUUUGGGUCCAUCAACAAUGAUGUUACAAAAACAAUAAUGAUGUGAAAGAGCUUCUUGAUGAGAAAGGUAUGGAAGCCAAUAUAGCAGGAGAAAGAUGGUCAUCUUAAACAAGAUUGAAAGAUUAAAGCUUUAUCUGCCCAAUUUCAGCUUCAAAAAAUUGCUUCAACUGAUCUAGUUGAGAAACCUCUUGAUAGUGAUUUGCAAUAUGCUCAUAAACAAUCUUUUGAUUUCUCUUGAAUUUAACGUUUAUGUGGUUUCUUUUGUGAA